AGAGAAGAGCAAACAGAAAUGAUGCUAAAGUGAAUGUGCUUCAUGCUUUCCACGCGCAGAAGAAUACAGUGUCCUUGCUUUCAAGGUAGAAAAACAAGUGAAGAAGUGCAACGUGAGCAAAGCGUGAAGUGGCUCCUCUCCAUGUAGCGAAAGGCAGCAGAGGCACCUGAGAGAACUGACCCUGCCCUAAAGGAAGAGGACAAGCAGAAAUAGCUCAGCGUAAUCAGUGCAAGCAACGCAAUGAGAGGGUUUCAAAAGAACAAUUUAAAAAAUGUACCGUGACUUUUGCAGAGAGCGGGAGGGAUUUAUAACAACA
RNAcentral lists this long non-coding RNA (316 nucleotides) under Anas platyrhynchos platyrhynchos (common mallard). RNAcentral's name for it is "lncRNA (ENSAPLG00000018483.1)". The record is from RNAcentral. Lineage: Eukaryota; Metazoa; Chordata; Aves; Anseriformes; Anatidae.